AACGAACGCUGGCGGCAUGCCUAACACAUGCAAGUCGAACGAGACCUUCUUGUCUAUUCGCGCCCGUUUGCGUAACGCGCGGGGACCUGCCCUUAUGUUCGCAAUAACUACCCGAAAAGGGUUCUAAUACCAUAUAAUGUCUUCGACCCAAAGAUUUAUCGCCUUUGGAUGGGCCCGCGUUGGAUUAGCUAGUUGGUAGGGUAAAAGCCUACCAAGGCGACGAUCCAUAGCUGGCCUGAGAGGAUGAUCAGCCACACUGGGACUGAGACACGGCCCAGACUCCUACGGGAAGCAGCAGUGGGGAAUAUUGGACAAUGGGCGAAAGCCUGAUGCAGCAAUGCCGCGUGAGUGAUGAAGGUCUUAGGGUUGUAAAGCUCUUUUACCCGGGAUGAUAAUGACAGUACCGGGAGAGUAAGCUCCGGCUAACUACGUG
This 433-nucleotide ribosomal RNA is filed under the name uncultured bacterium. RNAcentral describes it as "partial 16S ribosomal RNA". It matches the Rfam family "Bacterial small subunit ribosomal RNA", at positions 29 to 507 of the family's 1533-position model. The record is from RNAcentral.